CAGGAGGCCCACCUCAGCGGGAGGGAGUGAUUGAAGGAGAAUGGGAUGGACGAGGCCGGAUGGCGCGCAGAGAGAGCUGCAGGUGAGGCUUGUGAGGGAGGCCCGGCGGCAUGGCAGUAUUUUUAAUAAAGUGUGUGUGGUUGGGAUUCUCUGUACUGAGGCUCAGGUCUGGGGCCCCUGUUUCCACUGGGUAGUUUAUAGUAGGAUUCUCGGUGACAAAACAGAAACAUCCAUCGGCCAAUGGAAGCUGACGGGAGAACGGCAUCUUUGCCGAGGCUUCCCCCAAGAUUCCAAGUCACCCUUGGGCCCUAGAAAAAGCGGGCCACACCUGCCCACCUGCGCAAGGGAAGGCAAUGCAGCACAGGCCAGGUCAGGGCGCUGCCUGACUGGGGCAGCCUUGUG
RNAcentral lists this long non-coding RNA (402 nucleotides) under Homo sapiens (human). Its description in RNAcentral is "HSALNT0000926". The record is from RNAcentral. Lineage: Eukaryota; Metazoa; Chordata; Mammalia; Primates; Hominidae.